GGUAAGGCACCACCUACCCACAGCAAUGCUGAAAAGAAGAUGGAAAAAGCGGGAUUAGAAAACAGAUCAGUCACACAGUUGUUUAUUCUUCAAGCCCAUGUCAUUAUCUACACAAAAGAGCUAGUGAACAAGCACGGAGUAGGAGGUCAAAAACGAGACACGGCGAGAGAGUGGGCUGGUGAAAGAGAAAAUUCAGAACGCUGUGUCAUAUGUAUCGUAUGACUUCUAAAGCAAGACCGUGCAAAGGAGCUGGGAAAGGGAGGCGUGACAAGAAGGGAGUGUUGAUCUCAGCAAAUCAGACCUCUCACUUGUUCAGUCUGGUUUGUACUGCCCAGACCUGGAUGUUCCCUGCAGAUGUCCUGUGGGAAGAUUGGAUUCUGCCUAUGUUUUUAGUCUACAGGUUGGCUGCCCUUCUAGGACCUCGUAUCUCAUCUAGCUCUCUAACUUGAACCCCAAUGUGACAUUCUGACCAAUGGUUAGAGAGACUCUGUCCCCUAAAUGGAAUGCUGCAGAGGAAAAUCAUCUAUUUAUACUUGUUCUUUUUAAAAAUAUAAGACACAACAGACCUGUUAAAGCUCUGAUUUUUUUUAGAUGUACAUAAGAAAGAAAUUUGCUUAUAACGGUUACAUUUUAAUAAGCUGUACAAGGUCAGAAAUAUUCUAUGACAUCAACCUCCAGUCAGGACAUUUUAACUGGGUGAUCUAAAUGACUUUGUAUAACCUUAUGUGUCUGUAAAUGAAUCAACUUGACUUAUUCAUUUACAGACAUAGUCUUGUUUAUGUAUGAGAAGAAUGUUCCUUCAGAUUUUUCCUGCACAUGAUGUCUGGCACAGGAAAAAUGAUACGUGAGCUCGACUUGAUCUGCUGUUUUCUGUGCCUUAUUCUGAUACGUGUGAGGUAUGAUCCCUGGGGCUGACCUUCAGUGCAGCCAUCUGUAAGGGCGACAGUUCCCGACUCACCGAUGACAUCUCCCACACCUCCACCGAUUCUCCCGGGGGCCUUCGACUCAUCGAUGGUGGCUGGGAUCACGGCACAGCGGCACCAUGGGAAAAGGGCUGUGUUUUUACCAUCAGUGUGACGGUGCCGUGCUGCCUUUGCAGUUUUAAGGCCCAGGAAAUUUCCCAGAAUUUCCCAGAGGAACCCACCUGAGGGAUUAAUAAAGUUUUAUCUUAUCUUAAAACGAGCCCGCCAGUGCUCUGUAGCGGCGAUAAGGAAAGGCUGCUCUUCAUAGAGGACUCACCCUCGGGGAGACGUUUUCUGGUUGACUCCGGUUCCCAGAAGAGCCUCGGGAACUCUUGUGUCGUCUUUGCAUACCUCCAUAAUAGUAUAUUAUUUAAUCUUUAAAAAAAAAUUGGAGAUUUCCUGCGUACUACCAGAGAGAGCCCAAGUACUACUAGUGAUACCCGUACCACAGUUUGAGAACCACUGCAGUAGAGGAGCACUGCUGCAGUGGCAAAAACAGCUGCACUGUCCUCUGUGGGAUAUUGAUUGAUCUCAGCUCAACGUGGGUCAUUUAUUUAAAUACUCAUGGUGAAACAAACUUAAGUGGGCACAAUGUGGUUAUGCUAUGUACGCACAUGGCCUAUGUAGUAUAAUUUGUUCUUGAACAUUAGCAUAAAAGGAAUGCUUGUGUGGGUGCGAACAAACAAUAUGACCUUCCUCAGGUAACUCAGUGCACCUAAAACCAACUGACAGACGCAGAGAGAGAGACAGGGCAUGCAGAUAGAUUAGAUUACCGAGCUGUGAAGAGAGACAGUGCCAGAAAGCCUGCUACUGUAUUCUUAUCAGACGAUAAAAAAACAUGCAAGUUUGAAGAAGCACAGGUUUUCCAAAGGUAUUUAUGUAAGUAAUGGUUAACAAGAACUCGCAUGAGCACAGUGUUGAAUUCUCCUUGUUGGCUGCCACAAUCUAUGGUUUAAAAAAUCAUCAAUUAACUCAGCAAAACCUGUCAGACUCAGCUAGAAUGCCUCACUUGCUAACAGCAAUUCAAAGUACGCUUAUUCUUUAAAACAAGUCUUAGCAUAAAGGCAGGCAAAGGGGGAAAAGAGCCAAGGGAAGAGGAGUGCAUGGUUAAACACUUAAAGCUAAAACACAUGGAGUAAGACAACAGCUUUCCAACACAUGGUGCAUUUAAGUACAGCCCAUGUGUGGAUGCACACACUGUGUGGGUAAUUAACUCAGAAUGUAGCUUUAUCUUAUAUAGAGGAACAACAAAAUAAAAGCACAGCUAUGUAAUGAAAUGCAGAUGUGAUGAAUGAGCACCUUGGCCAUUCAGCUUUGUAAAAAAAAAAGAAAUGUUUAAAGGAAAAGCUGGAGCAGCGUAUUUUGUUUCACAGGUGACAGAAAGUCAAACACAGUUUACUAUCCGAGGACAAACUUGACCUCUGAAACUACUAAUGUUAAAAGAAAGUGAUUGGACUUCUACUGUUAGAAAUAUUUGUCGUCCCUUUAACAGCAAAGAUAAGCAACUUUUUCAUCAAUACAUCUGUGAGGACCAAAGACCUUUUAAAUCACAAAAAUCCCUCAGAAAUUCUCGUUGGACUGUUCUCACAUUCAUUUUGCAGCAGUGACAACAAAUGUCUUCAGUGACCAGGUGUCCACAGAACCCUGGUCACGGUGAAAGUAGAAAAGCAGCAGAUUUUAAUCAAACACCAAACUCCACCCAUGAACCUAAACCUAAUUCUUUAUUGGUAAAUGUUAAGAGAUUUUUACAUUUACUUACUUUGAUAACUUUUAUUUUGCUUAAGUAUAAUUUCUUGUGAGAACAUGAUGUGCCUGUAACCUACAGAUUAAGGAACAGAAGCAUGCGUGAGGAAGUUACAAAGUCACACACUCUCAGGCAGAGACAGUUCCAACCUGAAGCUGAUAUGACAAAAGAUACUAGUUCCUCUUGUCUUAUGGAUAACGGCCACUCAUGCGAUAACCAUAUCUAGAGAUGUUUUUCUAUUACGUAUGCUCCACCUAGAGAUGCUGUGUAAUCUAUUCUCUGCUAUAAAAUAAAGAACGGACUGAGGCUCUGCGCGACUUGCCUGUGUCUUGCCACGCAGUAAGCCUCGCCCAUGUACAUCCCAUAA
Molecule: long non-coding RNA, 3073 nt
Organism: Oreochromis aureus
Lineage: Eukaryota; Metazoa; Chordata; Actinopteri; Cichliformes; Cichlidae
Source: Ensembl